Molecule: ribosomal RNA, 234 nt
Filed under: uncultured bacterium
Lineage: Bacteria
Description: partial 16S ribosomal RNA
Rfam family: Bacterial small subunit ribosomal RNA
Source: RNAcentral
UGGGUGAUCUGCCCUGCACUCUGGGAUAAGCCUGGGAAACUGGGUCUAAAUACCGGAUAGGACUACGGCCUGCAUGGGUUGUGGUGGAAAGCUUUUGCGGUGUGGGAUGGGCCCGCGGCCUAUCAGCUUGUUGGUGGGGUGAUGGCCUACCAAGGCGACGACGGGUAGCCGGCCUGAGAGGGUGACCGGCCACACUGGGACUGAGAUACCGGCCCAGACCUCCUACAGGAGGCA